Molecule: ribosomal RNA, 460 nt
Filed under: uncultured bacterium
Lineage: Bacteria
Description: partial 16S ribosomal RNA
Rfam family: Bacterial small subunit ribosomal RNA
Source: RNAcentral
CCUACGGGUGGCAGCAGUGAGGAAUAUUGGUCAAUGGGCGGGAGCCUGAACCAGCCAAGUCGCGUGAGGGACGACGGUCCUAUGGAUUGUAAACCUCUUUUGUCGGGGAACAAAGGCGCCCACGGGUGGGCGGAUGAGUGUACCCGAAGAAAAAGCAUCGGCUAACUCCGUGCCAGCAGCCGCGGUAAUACGGAGGAUGCGCGCGUUAUCCGGAUUUAUUGGGUUUAAAGGGUGCGUAGGCGGAUUGAUAAGUUAGAGGUGAAAUGUCCGAGCUUAACUCGGGAACUGCCUCUAAUACUGUUGAUCUAGAGAGUAGAUGCGGUAGGCGGAAUGUAUGGUGUAGCGGUGAAAUGCUUAGAGAUCAUACAGAACACCGAUUGCGAAGGCAGCUUACCAAUCUAUAUCUGACGUUGAGGCACGAAAGCGUGGGGAGCAAACAGGAUUAGAUACCCGGGUAGUC